GAACUGAAGAGUUUGAUCCUGGCUCAGAUUGAACGCUGGCGGGAUGCUUUACACAUGCAAGUCGGACGGCAGCACGGGCUUCGGCCUGGUGGCGAGUGGCGAACGGGUGAGUAAUGUAUCGGAACGUGCCCAGUAGCGGGGGAUAACUACGCGAAAGCGUGGCUAAUACCGCAUACGCCCUACGGGGGAAAGCGGGGGACCUUCGGGCCUCGCACUAUUGGAGCGGCCGAUAUCGGAUUAGCUAGUUGGUGGGGUAACGGCCUACCAAGGCGACGAUCCGUAGCUGGUUUGAGAGGACGACCAGCCACACUGGGACUGAGACACGGCCCAGACUCCUACGGGAGGCAGCAGUGGGGAAUUUUGGACAAUGGGGGCAACCCUGAUCCAGCCAUCCCGCGUGUGCGAUGAAGGCCUUCGGGUUGUAAAGCACUUUUGGCAGGAAAGAAACGGCACGGGCUAAUAUCCUGUGCAACUGACGGUACCUGCAGAAUAAGCACCGGCUAACUACGUGCCAGCAGCCGCGGUAAUACGUAGGGUGCAAGCGUUAAUCGGAAUUACUGGGCGUAAAGCGUGCGCAGGCGGUUCGGAAAGAAAGAUGUGAAAUCCCAGGGCUUAACCUUGGAACUGCAUUUUUAACUACCGGGCUAGAGUGUGUCAGAGGGAGGUGGAAUUCCGCGUGUAGCAGUGAAAUGCGUAGAUAUGCGGAGGAACACCGAUGGCGAAGGCAGCCUCCUGGGAUAACACUGACGCUCAUGCACGAAAGUGUGGGGAGCAAACAGGAUUAGAUACCCUGGUGGUAGUCCACGCCCUAAACGAUGUCAACUAGCUGUUGGGGCCUUCGGGCCUUGGUAGCGCAGCUAACGCGUGAAGUUGACCGCCUGGGGAGUACGGUCGCAAGAUUAAAACUCAAAGGAAUUGACGGGGACCCGCACAAGCGGUGGAUGAUGUGGAUUAAUUCGAUGCAACGCGAAAAACCUUACCUACCCUUGACAUGUCUGGAAUCCCGAAGAGAUUUGGGAGUGCUCGCAAGAGAACCGGAACACAGGUGCUGCAUGGCUGUCGUCAGCUCGUGUCGUGAGAUGUUGGGUUAAGUCCCGCAACGAGCGCAACCCUUGUCAUUAGUUGCUACGAAAGGGCACUCUAAUGAGACUGCCGGUGACAAACCGGAGGAAGGUGGGGAUGACGUCAAGUCCUCAUGGCCCUUAUGGGUAGGGCUUCACACGUCAUACAAUGGUCGGGACAGAGGGUUGCCAACCCGCGAGGGGGAGCCAAUCCCAGAAACCCGGUCGUAGUCCGGAUCGCAGUCUGCAACUCGACUGCGUGAAGUCGGAAUCGCUAGUAAUCGCGGAUCAGCAUGUCGCGGUGAAUACGUUCCCGGGUCUUGUACACACCGCCCGUCACACCAUGGGAGUGGGUUUUACCAGAAGUAGUUAGCCUAACCGCAAGGGGGGCGAUUACCACGGUAGGAUUCAUGACUGGGGUGAAGUCGUAACAAGGUAGCCGUAUCGGAAGGUGCGGCUGGAUCACCUCCUUU
This 1534-nucleotide ribosomal RNA is filed under the name Bordetella pertussis. RNAcentral describes it as "bacterial SSU rRNA". It matches the Rfam family "Bacterial small subunit ribosomal RNA". Lineage: Bacteria; Pseudomonadati; Pseudomonadota; Betaproteobacteria; Burkholderiales; Alcaligenaceae. The record is from RNAcentral.